UAAUACGGAGGGUGCGAGCGUUAAUCGGAAUUACUGGGCGUAAAGCGUACGCAGGCGGUUUGUUAAGCGAGAUGUGAAAGCCCCGGGCUCAACCUGGGAACUGCAUUUCGAACUGGCAAACUAGAGUGUGAUAGAGGGUGGUAGAAUUUCAGGUGUAGCGGUGAAAUGCGUAGAGAUCUGAAGGAAUACCGAUGGCGAAGGCAGCCACCUGGGUCAACACUGACGCUCAUGUACGAAAGCGUGGGGAGCAAACAGGAUUAGAUACCCUGGUAGUCCACGCCGUAAACGAUGUCUACUAGAAGCUCGGUUCCUCGGAACUGUUUUUCAAAGCUAACGCAUUAAGUAGACCGCCUGGGGAGUACGGCCGCAAGGUUA
RNAcentral lists this ribosomal RNA (375 nucleotides) under uncultured Gammaproteobacteria bacterium. RNAcentral describes it as "bacterial SSU rRNA". It matches the Rfam family "Bacterial small subunit ribosomal RNA", at positions 521 to 896 of the family's 1533-position model. The record is from RNAcentral. Lineage: Bacteria; Pseudomonadati; Pseudomonadota; Gammaproteobacteria.